GGGCGCUGCUCUGCUGCAGGAGCGCUGUAGCCCAGAGGAGAUUCUGCGACAGCUGUGGCAAUGGCGCUCGGAGGGGCUGCGGACCAGAACGGCUCUGUCGCCCGGAGCAAUGAUAAAUGAAUUGUUGGGGAUUUAAAGGUCUUUAAAUUAAUGGAAAACCCUGAUUCCUCAACCAAGUCAACAUAUGGCUCAUUUGGACCUGCCUUCAGUUCUGGAGUUGGAAUGUAUUAAGAGAGAGAUGAGCCAAAUCCAGUUGUUACUUCCCUGAGUCUCACUGAAGAUCUAACAGGAAAGAUACGUUCAUCUUUUCCUUUAAAAAUAUUUUCAAGAUCUUCCCCUAAGCGUCACAUUAGAUGAGAUGUAUGACCCCUUGUAUGCAAAUCUCAGAUCCAGACUUUGAGUUCUAACAAUGCAGGCAUUUUGGUAACACCCAGACAUUGGCUUUAAUAUUGCCAGGUCAUUUGCCAUUAUUUGUUGUGUUCUUCAAAUCUGGAGCUCUCUUCUUUUUCUUAAUCUUUAAAAAGGGACAUAUACUGUUCAGAUUACAACUAUACUGAGAAAUCAUAUCAUCUAGUGGAUGGGGCAUUGGGCCAGGACUCAGAAGUAUACUGAAUACCAAACUCCACCACAGACCUGCAAUGUGACCUUAGGCAAAUAACUUUUUCUCUCUGGGCCUCUGUUUCCACUCCCACCUUUGUCUUGGCUGUUUAGACCAAGUCCUUCAAAGCAGGGACUCUCUUACAUAUCUUUGUACAGCACCUAACACAACGGGACUAUCUCUCUUUGGGGCCUCCAGGAGUUAUUGGCAUACAAACGAUAAUAACAAUAAACCCAAAUUAAACAUAUUAAGUCCAACUUUUGCCUUCAGUUACACCCAUGCAGCCAUGUUGGCUUCCAUGUUUACUUCUAGUCUUUGAUUACUGGGACAAAUCUUGAAGUCCUAAAUCUUUUUUCAGCCCAAACUCAUUGAAGUCACUGUGCGAAAACCUCUUUUUUGGAUGCUGAAAUCAGCCUUAGUCCCACGUUUUCUGUACCUGAUGUGCUUUAGAAUUUUGUAUUGACAACUCACAGAUGUAUUGUAGAAGUUAUCAGGGAAGAAGCUGAAGGUUUUGACAGCAGAAUAGGGAACACUGGGAUUUUUGGGACUUGGGCUGGCAUCAGAAGCUGUUUGGGAUAGGGUAAAUACAAUAGCUGAGCAUUUUAUUAAAGUGAGCAGAGAUGAAAUAGUUAAUGUUAAUAUUUAAACAAUUAGCUGUAGGAUUCAGAGUAAACAACCUAUUGAAGUGAGAAGCAAAGAUCACGCUUCUCCAGAACUAUAGUUUCAGGCUAUCUGCAGCCUCUUAAGGAUAGCACUGUGUUAGUUACAUACAGCUGACACUAUAAAGCUGUUAUUCCCAGCCAUAAAGGCUAGAAAGAUUUGGGUUUUGUUUGUUUAAUGGAUAUUUGGCUUCUGGAAUAAAAUUCCGAAGAAAAGUGGAUUCAGUUGCAAAUUCUACAGCCAAUUUCCCUGACUAUUCCGCAGGGGAAUUGUAAUAAAGUAAACACUGGUCACUUAGGCUAUG
This is a non-coding RNA of Pelodiscus sinensis (Chinese soft-shelled turtle), 1562 nucleotides long. Lineage: Eukaryota; Metazoa; Chordata; Testudines; Trionychidae. The record is from RefSeq and is a predicted model, not a curated record.